UUAGCUGCUACCUUCACUUCCCUCAUCCCUUAUGCCUUCCAACAGAAGCAAGCUAUAUGUAUAUAUAGUAUAUAGUAACGUCAUCGGAGAAUUUGUGUGAAGUGCUACUCCGACUCCAAGGUUAAAUUUUGACGACCGUACAACUGAGGCUUCGCUUGCUGUGAACGUGUCUCGACAUAUUUUUUCCUUAACAGGUGAAUACCGUUUUAUUUAGUUAUUCAUGAUCUAUCGAAAAAAAAAAAAUUACUUGUGAAAACAGAUAGGUAUAUUGCACCACAUCUAUUGCAACUCUGUGAGGCAUGAUCGGGGCGGAUUUAGAGGAUGCUGAGGGGCAAAAAUUAUAGUGUAUAUAUAAGGUAGAUUUUCUGUGUUUAUGUACAUAUAUUAACUUUGGAAUAUAUUGAACAAAUGCAAAAGAUUAAUUGUCUCUAUCAUCCUAGGUUCGAUUCCCAGGAAAAACAUUAUUUUUUAUAUUUAACUUUUUUACUUUUUCUGAACCCUUGAAUCAAAAUUCUGGAUCCGCCUAAUCGUUAUAACGGCUACUGCUCCGGUAGGGCAAUAAUCGAAUUAUGAAACGUUGACGCAAACUCUUGGGGUUAGUUUGGUACUUUUUUGGUUCAUUUCACUAUAAGAAAUGGACUGUACUUUGAUUGGUUUGAACUUGAUUAAGCUAAAACUAAGAAAAUAAAGCUUAGAAGAAAUCUCUUAGAAAGCAAAUAGUUCAAAUGUUUAAGGAAGUCGAUAAAUAGAGCUACGAUUUUUUCUUUGCAAUUUCGUUAUAUUUUUAUUUUAUCCUAAGCAAUUGAUUUAUGUAAAACUAUAAACUAGAGGAUUUUCUAUAUUCCCAUGAUAAUAGAAUUAACAAAAUAGAUCAUUCAUUCCUAAGUAGGGCCAGGCAUAAUUUUGGAAAAAUUGAAAUCCAAACCGAAAUUCGAAUUUUUCAAAAUUUUUGAUUGGAUUUUGGAUUUAACUUCCAAAAAUUGAGAUGUCUCAUUAUCAUCGUACUUUUUAUUGUCAUUGAAGGAGUUGUGACAAUAGAUCCUUACGGAAGCAUAUUAAUUGAUGUUUAAAUCGUAUGCAAUAUAUAUGAAUUGAGUAGUGGUUGGCUUGAAUAUGCACUGUUAGCAGUAUGAAAACUGAUCCAGUUAGAACAUUUUUGAAUUGGAUUUGAAUUUUAAUUUUUUAAAUCCAAAAAUUAAAAAUUAAAAUCGAAAUUUUCAUAUCCAAUCUAAGCUGUCCAAACGUCCGCCCCUAUUCUUAAGUUAAUGAAUUUCUUAAUUCCUAAGUCUAUCAAAUUACAUCCUUCAAUCCAACUCAAUUCCAAAUUCUCUUUUAAAAAAUCGAUUUAAAAUCAAAGAAGGUGCCCAAUUGACUAUAAAAACAAAAAUUGAGAAAUAAGAUAUAUAUCUUAAAAGCAAAAUCAAUUCCUCGAAUAAAACUAUAAACCACAAUGAGAACUACAUAGACAUAAUCCAAGAACUAUAAAUAAAGAAAAGGAGAAAAAAGAUGAAACUUUGAAGGAAUAUAUUUUUUCUUGAGUUAAUGGUAAAAAACAAACCUGAAUUAUCACUUUUUCGUGAGUUUUCUACCUAAACUAUCAGGCGUGCGAGUUUCCUACCUGAACUAUCACCAACUGUUUUUCAAAACAUACCUCAACUAUUUGUUGUUCACUUUUCUUACCUAUAUCGUUCAGUUAGGAAAAAUAAACAACUAAUAGUUGAGGUUUGUUUUGACAAACAAUUGAUGAUAGUUCAGGUAGGAAACUCACGAAAAAGUGAUAGUUUAGGUGUGUUUUUGACCGUCCUCUCUUUUUUACCCAUGGUAGUGCUCUCAAAGAGUCUCCCAAUUUUGCCAAGAUCAGAGCUGAUGUACAAUUAAAGCUACUAACUUGGUCGAUCCCAAUAGCUUUUGCUCGAACCUUAUGUAUGUGUUAAGAAAAUCUACAAAUUAUAUAUAAAUAUUAAAUUUUGAACUUACCAACUUAAACGAUUAGUGUGUUCAGCGGCAUCACAAACCUAUUAAAUUUUACCUAUGCGGUUGCAUUUUAGCAAAAUUGUAGGAACUAGACAUGAGCAACCCAUCCAACGUCAGUUUUUUCUUUUCUAAAGGUUGCGUUGAAAAGAAACAUUGCUAGUUUGUCUAGUCACGUUUCUAUGAAGCUAGAAGUGCUUAUGGAAAAAAAAAUAUCACUUAUUAAUUUGGCAAAGGAGCGUGAUAGGCCACAAGUAAGUGACAUUUUUUUUUUCCCACUAAACACUUCUAGUUUCCAGGAACGUGAUUGGCCCCAAGUUUAUCUCAUCUGAUUGACCUUAUGUCCUAAAUUUUGGUGGAUCCGAAUUGCAACCUAACCUCGAAAACUGCGACUCAAAGUGGGAGAACCAAAUGGAAAUAUGUGUUGGUAGAAGAAGUUGAGGGCCGAUAGGCCCGAGACUAGACUUUUGACAAAGUAAAGCUACAUUGUUUAGAAGUAACAAAAUCUUUUUGUGAUUUUAUUUUUAUGUUCAAUAAAAUUGACAAUAUUAAUUACUAAAAUCCAUCAUAAUAAAUAAUUAACAU
Molecule: long non-coding RNA, 2556 nt
Organism: Lycium ferocissimum
Lineage: Eukaryota; Viridiplantae; Streptophyta; Magnoliopsida; Solanales; Solanaceae
Exons: 3
Source: RefSeq, a predicted model, not a curated record